UGCCUUUCUGUCUUCUUCGUCUAUCAGU
This 28-nucleotide non-coding RNA is filed under the name Rattus norvegicus (Norway rat). The record is from RNAcentral. Lineage: Eukaryota; Metazoa; Chordata; Mammalia; Rodentia; Muridae.